Molecule: small RNA, 8074 nt
Filed under: Histoplasma capsulatum G186AR
Lineage: Eukaryota; Fungi; Ascomycota; Eurotiomycetes; Onygenales; Ajellomycetaceae
Description: hypothetical RNA
Source: RNAcentral
CUCCGCCAGCUGGCCACAUCCCCAUUUCCAAUCCCCAAUUGCCAUCCCCAAUUCCCAAUUCCCACUUCCCAAUUCCCACUUCCCACUUCUACAUUCUACACCUCUCCUGCAUUGCGGUCGGCUGCUGCGGUCUCUCCAUCUCUCCCCACUCCGGCGGGAAAGCAUGGGUCUCCUGGUACAAGGCCAUGGUCAAUGUCAAUCCAUCGUCGACGAGGAACACCCGCUCGAGUAUUCGGAAUACUGCGCGGACAAGGGCUAUGGCUGGGCUGGGGCCUUGCCGGCACCGCAGGGCCUCUAUGACCCCGAGCGGGAGAAGGAUGCCUGCGGUGUCGGCUUUGCAGCGCAUAUCAAGGGGAAGGCGAGCCAUAAGAUAGUCAGCGAUGGUAAGUAGGAAGAGAGAGAGAGAGAGAGCGAGAGACUCCCUCCCCCGCUAUGUUGCUCCAAUCAAUCGAUUGAUGCCUCUUCUAACCCUUUUCCCCCCGGCAGCCCGGAGUUUGCUCUGCAACAUGACCCAUCGUGGUGCCGUAGGUUCCGAUGCCAGGGACGGUGAUGGCGCUGGCGUGAUGACUAGCAUCCCCCACAGGUUCUUCGUGAAGCACUUCGCUCGUGAUGCCGGCGUCGAGCUGCCGCCCAUGGGCCAGUAUGCCACGGGAAACCUGUUCUUCAAGCCGGACUCGGAGACCCUGAAGGAAUCCCUCGCUACCUUUGACGAACUGGCCAGGGAGCUCGGCCUGCGCGUGCUGGGCUGGCGGGAUGUCCCCCACGACUCUACCCUGCUGGGCCCCGCCGCCCUGUCCCGCGAGCCCGUCAUCAUGCAGCCCUUUGUUGUGCUUCGCUCGGCCUAUGGCGAUGGGCCCACCCCCCUGACGACGACGGACCCGGACCAGCACCCGGCGCAGUUCGAUGAGCUCGCCUUCGAACGCCAGCUCUAUUUCCUCCGAAAGCGCGCGACCCACGUCCUAGGCCUUGCGAACUGGUUCUACGUCUGCUCCCUCAGUAACCGCAACAUCGUCUACAAGGGCCAGCUGGCCCCCGUCCAAGUUUACGAAUACUACCACGACCUGGUCUCCGUUGACUACGAGGCCCAUUUCGCCCUGGUCCACUCGAGAUUCUCGACAAACACCUUCCCGUCCUGGGACCGUGCUCAACCGCUCCGCUGGGCGGCUCACAAUGGCGAGAUCAACACUCUGCGCGGCAACAAGAACUGGAUGAGAGCCAGGGAAGGGGUCUUGCGAUCCGAAAUCUUCGGCGAUGACCUGGACUACCUCUACCCGAUCGUUGAGGACGGCGGUUCCGACUCCGCUGCCUUCGACAAUGUGCUCGAGCUGCUCACCAUGAACAGGGUUCUGUCCCUGCCGGAAGCGGUGAUGCUGAUGGUCCCGGAAGCGUGGCAGGAUAAUCCCGCCAUGGACCCCGCAAAGGCUGCUUUCUACGAAUGGGCCGCCUGCCAGAUGGAGCCUUGGGAUGGACCCGCGCUCUUCACCUUCUCCGACGGACGGUACUGUGGCGCGAACUUGGAUCGCAAUGGUCUUCGCCCCUGCCGAUACUACAUCACAGACGACGAUCGCAUCAUCUGCGCGUCGGAGGUCGGCACGAUCCCAUUCGAUCCCGAGCGUAUCGUUGAGAAGGGCCGUCUGCAGCCCGGCAAAAUGCUGCUCGUUGACACAGUGGCUGGAAGGAUCAUCGACGACACCGAGUUGAAAACCACCGUUGCCAGCCGCCAUGAUUUCAGAUCCUGGGUUGAGAGAGAGCUGCUUCGCCUCCCCGAAAUUCUAAAGGGCCUGCUCGAGAAAAACAUUGACCUAACCUAUACCCUGGACGAUUCUACGGUCCAGGGCGAUGUUCGACUCAAAGCAUUUGGCUAUUCCUACGAGCAAGUCAGUCUCAUUCUGGGACCAAUGGCCGCGGAUUCCAAGGAGGCGCUUGGAUCCAUGGGCAACGAUGCGCCCCUUGCGUGUCUCGCUCAGCAGCCACGGCUUCUGUAUGAGUAUUUCCGCCAGCUUUUCGCACAGGUCACCAACCCGCCCAUCGAUCCCAUUCGGGAGGCCAUCGUCAUGUCCCUAGAAUGCUACGUGGGUCCCCAGGGGAACCUCCUGGAGAUGGAUUCCUCGCAGUGCCAUCGUCUCCUUCUCACCUCGCCCAUUUUGUCACUGGACGAGUUCAGCACGAUCAAAAAUAUGGCGGCGGUCCAUGUCGACUGGUCCGUCAAAACUAUCGAUAUCACUUUCGAGAAAGCGAAGGGGGUUCAGGGCUACCUCGACGCUCUAGACGAGAUCUGCAACGCGGCAACUGAGGGUGUCCAGAACGGCGAUAAAGUCUUUAUCCUUUCCGACAGGGCCACCUCUGCCGAUCGAGUCCCCGUUUCGUCCCUGCUUGCCACGGGCCUUGUCCACCACCAUCUCGUUCGAAACAAGUGGAGGUCGCUGGUUGCUUUGAUCGUCGAGACUGCUGAAGCGCGAGAGGUGCACCACAUGUGCGUUCUUCUUGGGUAUGGCGCCGAUGGAAUCUGCCCGUACCUGGCUCUGGAAUGCAUUCUGAAAAUGAACCGUGAGAAUUUGAUCCGCAAAGCGCUCUCGGACGAGAAGAUCAUCGAAAACUACAAGUCGUCGGUGGACGGCGGCAUCCUCAAAGUCAUGAGCAAAAUGGGCAUCUCGACUCUUCAAAGCUACAAGGGUGCCCAGAUCUUCGAAGCGCUAGGGAUAGAUGAUAGCGUUAUUGACCUGUGCUUUGCGGGCACUGCGAGUAGGAUAAAAGGCAUGACUUUCGAGCAGAUCGCGCAGGAUGCGUUUGCCUUCCACGAGAAGGGCUUCCCGUCGCGAAUUAUCAGCGAGAUCCCUGGGCUGUCGGAAUCAGGCGAAUAUCAUUGGCGCGAUGGCGGUGAACACCAUAUCAACGACCCUGUCAGCAUCGCCAACAUCCAGGAUGCCGUGCGCACCAAGAAUGACAGGUCGUAUGAGGCAUAUGCUCGCUCCGAACAUGAACAGAUCAGGAACUGCACCUUGCGCGGGUUGCUCGAUUUUAAUUUCGAACACCGCACUGCGGUGCCGAUUGACCAAGUCGAGCCGUGGACUGAGAUCGUCCGCCGCUUUGUCACUGGCGCCAUGUCGUAUGGAUCCAUUUCCAUGGAGUCCCACUCCACUCUUGCCAUCGCAAUGAAUAGACUCGGCGGCAAGUCCAAUACGGGAGAAGGGGGUGAGAACGCGGAGCGCAGCAAGGUUCUGGAGAACGGCGACACCAUGAGAUCCGCCAUCAAGCAGAUUGCCUCUGGCCGAUUCGGCGUUACGUCCCACUACCUUGCUGACGCCGAUGAGCUCCAAAUCAAAAUGGCCCAGGGCGCCAAACCCGGCGAGGGCGGAGAGCUUCCUGGCCACAAAGUGUCCGCUGAGAUCGGCAAGACCCGCCACUCGACCCCGGGCGUAGGCCUCAUUUCACCCCCACCACACCACGACAUCUACUCGAUCGAAGAUCUGAAACAGCUCAUCUACGACCUGAAGUGCUCGAAUCCCCGUUCGCGCGUCUCUGUCAAACUCGUCUCCGAGGUUGGCGUCGGUAUUGUUGCCUCGGGCGUUGCAAAGGCCAAGGCGGAUCAUAUCUUGAUCUCGGGCCAUGACGGAGGCACCGGCGCGUCGCGGUGGACGGGAAUUAAGUACGCUGGGCUUCCGUGGGAACUCGGCCUGGCAGAGACUCACCAGACGCUGGUCCUCAACGAUCUUCGCGGCCGUGUCAUCGUCCAGACUGAUGGUCAACUGCGGACGGGGCGGGAUGUAGCGAUGGCGUGUUUACUGGGAGCAGAGGAAUGGGGCUUUGCGACGACUCCUCUCAUUGCCAUGGGCUGUGUUAUGAUGCGCAAGUGCCACUUAAAUACAUGUCCGGUUGGCAUUGCAACCCAGGACCCUUUGCUCCGACAAAAGUUCUCAGGGACCCCUGAACACGUUAUCAAUUUCUUCUACUACAUCGCCAACGAACUACGAGCGAUAAUGGCUAAAUUGGGUAUCCGCACCAUCAACGAGAUGGUAGGUCGUGGGAUGACCUCCCUUCGUCCAAAAUGGAAAAUAUCGAUCUCUCUCUCAUUCUCACGCCGGCCCACUCGCUGCGCCCUGGCGUAGCGACGUACAAUGUCCGUAAACAAGACCAUCGCCUCCACGUCCGUUUGGACAACAAGCUCAUUGCCGAAUCUGAACUGGCGCUGGAAAAGGGCCUGCCGUGCCGCAUCGAGUGUGACGUUGUGAACACCGAUCGCGCCUUGGGGGCUACGCUUUCAUACCAGGUGAGUCGUCGCUACGGAGAGGCUGGUCUUCCGCAAGACACUAUCCACGCAAAUAUCAAGGGCUCCGCUGGUCAGUCCUUCGGCGCGUUCCUCGCGCCUGGCGUAACCCUCGAGCUUGAGGGUGAUGCCAAUGAUUAUGUCGGUAAAGGAUUGUCCGGCGGUCGUUUGAUCGUCUACCCUCCUCGCAGCGCCGUCUUUAAAUCCGAGGAGAACAUCCUCAUAGGAAACGUCUGCCUGUACGGCGCCACACGAGGUCACUGUUACUUCCGGGGUGUAGCUGCUGAGCGAUUUGCUGUGCGUAACUCGGGGGCUACGGCGGUCGUUGAAGGCGUCGGCGAUCACGGUUGCGAGUACAUGACGGGAGGCCGCGUUCUGAUUCUCGGACCGACUGGCCGGAAUUUCGCCGCUGGAAUGUCUGGCGGCAUCGCCUAUGUCCUCGACGUGAAUCAGGACUUCCACUCGAAAAUUAAUAUGGAAAUGGUUGAGGUUUCUGGAGUGGAAGACCCAGCGGAGAUUGCCUUCUUGCGCGGGCUCAUCGAGGACCACCACCACUACACCGGCUCCGAGCUUGCAGCCCGUAUCCUUCUCGAUUUCACUCGAGCACUGGGCCAUUUCGUCAAGGUCCUGCCGACGGAUUACAAGAGGGUACUUGAGGAGGAGGCUAAGAAAGCUGCUGCUGCGAAACAGGCCAAAUUCACUCUUCCGUACUUAUCCAGAAAUCCCUCAGGGGAGGCCGUGGAUAAUCCUCAUGUGCAUCGCGAGGAAUCCAAGAAAAGCAGCAGCAGUGACCUUCUGGAUAUUGAGGACAGCGUUGGCGACGCCAAGACGGAGAAAAAGCGCACUUCCUUGAUCCUCGACAAGACGAAAGGUUUCAUGAAGUACCACCGCCACAGCGAGAAAUACCGGAACCCAAGGACUCGAACUCGCGACUGGGCCGAGCUGAGCACGCGUCUGACGGACGAUGAAUUGAAGUACCAGUCGGCCCGUUGCAUGGACUGCGGCGUUCCCUUCUGCCAAUCCGACACCGGAUGCCCUAUCUCCAACAUUAUUCCCAAGUGGAAUGAGCUUGUCUUCCGGAACCAGUGGCGGGAUGCGCUUAAUCGAUUGCUCAUGACGAACAACUUUCCCGAGUUCACGGGCCGCGUUUGCCCGGCUCCUUGUGAAGGCGCUUGCGUCCUUGGAAUAAUCGAAGACCCUGUCGGCAUCAAGAGUAUCGAAUGUGCGAUCAUUGACCGCGGCUUCGAAAUGGGUUGGAUGGUCCCCACUCCCCCGGCAAGUCGCACUGGCAAGACCGUUGCGAUUAUCGGCUCCGGCCCGGCUGGCCUUGCCGCUGCGGAUCAGCUGAACCGUGCCGGACACCGCGUGACGGUGUAUGAACGUGCCGAUCGCAUUGGCGGCCUGCUGAUGUAUGGAAUUCCGAACAUGAAACUGGACAAAACGAUCGUUCAGCGGCGGGUGGAUUUCAUGGCGGCAGAGGGUGUCAAGUUCGUGACCAGCACCGCCGUCGGGCCCGAGGGAGAUAUCUCUCUGGCCCAGCUACGCAAGGAAAACAACGCGGUCAUACUCGCCACGGGAGCGACGGUGGCGAGAGACUUGAAGAUCCCCGGCCGCGAACUCGACGGCAUCCAUUUCGCCAUGCAGUUCCUCCAUCGCAACACCAAAUCCCUGCUUGACUCGGGGUUGUCUGACGGCGAAUACAUCUCCGCCAGGGACAAGCACGUCAUCGUCAUCGGCGGCGGCGACACGGGGAACGACUGCAUCGGCACCUCGGUCCGCCACGGCGCCAAAUCCGUGACCAACUUCGAACUGCUCCCGCAGCCGCCCCCAGAACGUGCCCGCGAUAACCCCUGGCCGCAGUGGCCACGCGUCUACCGCGUCGAUUACGGACACACGGAGGUGAAGACCCACAUGGGCAAGGACCCGCGCGAGUAUUGCAUAAUGUCGAAGGAAUUCGUCGGCGAGAACGGCGUCGUGAAGGGUAUCAACGUCUGCCGUGUCGAGUGGACCAAGAGUGCGGCGGGCGGCUGGGACAUGAAGACGAUCGAGGGCAGCGAGCAGUUCUUCCCCGCCGACCUUGUCCUGCUCUCCAUGGGUUUCCUGGGCCCCGAGGAUAGGCUGCUCGGGGAGGAAAUUGAGAAGGAUGCUCGGAAGAACAUCAAGACGCCCCCCGGCCACUAUUCGACGAACGUCCCCGGUGUCUUCGCUGCUGGCGACUGUAGACGUGGACAGUCUCUGAUCGUUUGGGGAAUCAACGAAGGCCGCCAGGCUGCUCGCGAAGUCGACGCGUAUCUGAUGGGCACCAGUUCUCUGCUUCCCGUCACUGGAGGAAUUGUCCGCCGGCCCGCAAUCGACUCUGUGCCCGCUGCCGGUCAAGCGCAAACCGUCGCCGCGUAGGAGCUGGAAUAGGAAUGAAAUGGUAUCUUAGCGCUGUCUAAGGGGGCCCUGCCGCAUGUAUAUAUAUAUAUAUAUAUACUCGGACACGGGCCAUUCAUCGGCUGAUGGCGGUGCGAGCUGGACAUAUCACGUCAAACAAAGCUCAUGAGGCAAACUGGGGCCCCUCGCAGACACACAAUAUUGAUAACUUUUGUGUCGGCCUCUUGAGUCUUCCCCCGCCGGGGGUGUCCUCCCAUGGGUAUCGUUCACACAGGAUUUUGGAAUGGGCCAUUUCCUCAUUUCCAGAAAAAUCACAGACAGUUUGGAACGAGUUGAUGAGAUGGAAACGGGUAUUUUUUUUUUUUUUUUGGAGAAACUUCUCUCGCAAACUGCCGUGAUGCUAUUUAUUUAUUUAUUUAUUUUAUUUGCUCGUGCCGUUUCGUUCAGAAUACCCGCUACCGGAAACGUUUCCUAUUUUGUUUUCUCUUUUGGGGUGUGUGGGGGGGGGGCGGCGGCAUGGGACGGUCAAGUUCUCAUUUUGGUUAUUUACUGCUUUUUGGAGGGAUUUUCUUUUCUUUUCUUUUUUUCUUUUUCUUUUUCUUCUUUUUUUUGUAUUGCAUAUUCUCAUCACGGCUGGCUGCUCGGGUUUUUUUUAUUUAACAUGGUCGGCACACUGUUAGCUAAAAAUUUUAAAAUCUCUAGUUAAAUCUAACCACAUCUUCUAUAAGUUAGUUAGUUCAACUCUCUGUCAUUAGUUUUCAUUCUGUCUGUGCCUCUCCAUUUCCUUGGCCAUGUACAUAUUGUAUCUCCUUUCCUUUCCUUUCCUUCUUCCUCGCCCGGAACACAUUUGUCACACAUUGUCAAGGGGGUUUCUUCUAAGGGGUUGGGGUUAUCUUCAAAAAUCCAAAAACUAUUAUUAUUAUGGGUGACUUACAAGAGGAGAAGAGCAAUCAAUCCAUGUCAUGUACACCUUCAUUGGCAAGGAGAAAGUGAAGAGAUUUUUUUCCCUUUUUCCUUUCUUUUCUUUUCUUUUUUUUUUCCGUUCAAACCCAGAGAACAUGCAGGACAGACAGCAGUCAGCGCGGUUGUCUCGCUGAGACCGUGGUUGGGAACGCGGAAAGCCACCGAUUCCUCUCCCUACCCUGCCUCUUUCCCCGUCUUAGGGAGAUCCCAUGUGUGGAGUUAAGAAGAUCUUCUUUGUAUUUUUUUUUUCCUGCUACAUUAUGUACUGUACAGUAUAUCCAUUAUUCAUACCAUUGAAAAUGAUAUGAAUUCAAGGGGGGGCGGUUGUAGAUGAGAACCUCAAGCCAAAAUAUCGUUACAUAGUCUAUCGCCAAACCCUAAAAGCACAACAAAGCUUCAAAUAAAUCAAACCCAUACCGACCAAAAAUUCAACAGCGGUCUGAGACCUGAGACCUUCAAGCACACCAGGCG